Mirounga angustirostris (Northern elephant seal) is the source of this 804-nucleotide long non-coding RNA. RefSeq lists it as uncharacterized. The transcript is spliced from 3 exons. The record is from RefSeq and is a predicted model, not a curated record. Lineage: Eukaryota; Metazoa; Chordata; Mammalia; Carnivora; Phocidae.
AGGUGUCCGAGGGACCACCUCCGAGGGUCAUCCUAGGACUUCGUCAGACCAUGUUUGUGGAUGCCAGAAGAGGUCAUGAAUUCUCAGAGGCACAGAGGAGAAGGCUUCACAACGGUGACAUGAUGUCAUUUCUAAAUGGGAGACAGACACAGAAACACAGAGGGAACAGAGCCAUGCAACCAUGGAGGGAAGGAGGCAGAGGUUGGAGUGACAUAUCUACAAACCAAGGGACGACAAGGAUCGCAGCCACCACCAGAAGCUGGAAGAAGCAGGGAAGGAUUCUUCCUGAGAGCCGUCAGGGAGCACGGCCCUGCUGACACUUUAACUUCAGACUUCUAGCCUCUGGAACCAUAAGAGAAUAAGUUCCUCCUGUUUUAAGCCACCUGAUUUGUGGUCAUUUGUCACGGCAGGUCUAGGAAACUAACUGUUGAAACAUGUCUUCAAGUGACGUGAUUUAUCCCUAUUCCCGUAUUUGGACAAAGAAAUGAAAUCGGAUGGUAUGAUCAAAACCAUCUGAAUCUUCUGCAGUGGGUGGCAUCCUUGCUUGCUUAUGAGAAUCCCCUGCAAUCUGUGGCAAAUCCCCUGGCCCAAGCACCUCCCCCCCUUCCCCCCCCCCCCCGCCUGGCCCAAUUAAAUCAGAAACUCUGCACAUGGGACCAAAACACCAGCCUUUUGUAACAGUAAAACCAUGGGCUUCAGGGUCUGUCAACUCUUGGGUUGCUUUCUGGCUUUGUUACCUACUAACUAUGCCCUUGGGCAAGUCAUGUAAUUUACCUGGUAUUUGUUCAAAUUGAAAAUGGGAUU